Molecule: ribosomal RNA, 468 nt
Filed under: uncultured bacterium
Lineage: Bacteria
Description: partial 16S ribosomal RNA
Rfam family: Bacterial small subunit ribosomal RNA
Source: RNAcentral
GACGAACGCUGGCGGCGUGCUUAACACAUGCAAGUCGAACGGAAAGGCCCUGCUUUUGUGGGGUGCUCGAGUGGCGAACGGGUGAGUAACACGUGAGUAACCUGCCCUUGACUUUGGGAUAACUUCAGGAAGCUGGGGCUAAUACCGGAUAGGAGCUCCUGCUGCAUGGUGGGGGUUGGAAAGUUUCGGCGGUUGGGGAUGGACUCGCGGCUUAUCAGCUUGUUGGUGGGGUAGUGGCUUACCAAGGCUUUGACGGGUAGCCGGCCUGAGAGGGUGACCGGCCACAUUGGGACUGAGAUACGGCCCAGACUCCUACGGGAGGCAGCAGUGGGGAAUAUUGCACAUUGGGCGGAAGCCUGAUGCAGCAACGCCGCGUGCGGGAUGACGGCCUUCGGGUUGUAAACCGCUUUCGCCUGUGACGAAGCGUGAGUGACGGUAAUGGGUAAAGAAGCACCGGCUAACUACGUG